UACGUAGGUGGCAAGCGUAGUCCGGAAUUACUGGGUGUAAAGGGCGUGUAGGCGGGAUAGCAAGUCAGUUGUGAAAUCCCAUGGCUUAACUGUGGAGCUGCAUCUGAAACUGUUUUUCUUGAGUAUCGGAGAUGCAAGUGGAAUUCCAAGUGUAGCGGUGAAAUGCGUAGAGAUUUGGAGGAACACCAGUGGCGAAGGCGGCUUUCUGGACGAUAACUGACGCUGAGGCGCGAAAGCGUGGGGAGCAAACAGG
This 253-nucleotide ribosomal RNA is filed under the name uncultured bacterium. RNAcentral describes it as "partial 16S ribosomal RNA". It matches the Rfam family "Bacterial small subunit ribosomal RNA", at positions 524 to 776 of the family's 1533-position model. The record is from RNAcentral.